ACAAAACUGCAGCAUCUCAAGAGUGCAGCAGAAAUAAUUGAUGCUUCCAAAUGUCUCCUCCCCUGUGCUGCAGAGUACCACCAAUUUUUACAAUUUAACGCUGACUUUAAUGAAUUUAUUGACACCGACCUAACUGAGAAAGUGGAAGCCUUGGACAAGUUUCAAGUUUUGUUUAAGUCGAUUAAGAGAAGUGGAUCACAUGCAUUGGAUGAAAAAUUGGAUGUAGAUGCAGCCAGUCCAAGUCGUCAACAGAAUGUUGCACCAAAGAACACACAAGAAGCAGGUCCAAGUAGUCAACCGAAGCAUCAACAUACUAGAAUUGAUGUAGACACACUGCAAGCACUAAUUGAAAGCAAAGGUCCGAGUAUAUUUAA
Long non-coding RNA from Sinocyclocheilus grahami, 374 nucleotides. RefSeq lists it as uncharacterized. NCBI's taxonomy places the organism in Eukaryota, Metazoa, Chordata, Actinopteri, Cypriniformes, Cyprinidae. The transcript is spliced from 4 exons. The record is from RefSeq and is a predicted model, not a curated record.